This 344-nucleotide ribosomal RNA is filed under the name uncultured bacterium. RNAcentral's name for it is "bacterial SSU rRNA". It matches the Rfam family "Bacterial small subunit ribosomal RNA", at positions 1 to 331 of the family's 1533-position model. The record is from RNAcentral.
CGGCCGCGUCGACGUUUGAUCCUGGCUCAGGAUGAACGCUGGCGGCGUGCCUAAUACAUGCAAGUCGAGCGAACAGACGAGGAGCUUGCUCCUUUGACGUUAGCGGCGGACGGGUGAGUAACACGUGGGUAACCUACCUAUAAGACUGGGAUAACUUCGGGAAACCGGAGCUAAUACCGGAUAAUAUUUCGAACUGCAUGGUUCUAUAGUGAAAGAUGGCUCUGCUAUCACUUAUAGAUGGACCUGCGCCGUAUUAGCUAGUUGGUAAGGUAACGGCUUACCAAGGCGACGAUCGGUAGCUGGUCUGAGAGGACGAUCAGCCACACUGGGACUGAGACACGGCC